This 72-nucleotide transfer RNA is filed under the name Siphoviridae sp. ct0yq10. RNAcentral's name for it is "tRNA-Cys". It matches the Rfam family "tRNA". From Rfam's summary of the family: Transfer RNA (tRNA) molecules are approximately 80 nucleotides in length. Their secondary structure includes four short double-helical elements and three loops (D, anti-codon, and T loops). Lineage: Duplodnaviria; Heunggongvirae; Uroviricota; Caudoviricetes. The record is from RNAcentral.
GCCCUUGUAGCCAAGAGGUUAAGGCAUGGCUCUGCAAAAGCUUGAUCGUAGGUUCAAAUCCUAUCAGGGGCU